RNAcentral lists this long non-coding RNA (701 nucleotides) under Homo sapiens (human). Its description in RNAcentral is "HSALNT0090531". The record is from RNAcentral. Lineage: Eukaryota; Metazoa; Chordata; Mammalia; Primates; Hominidae.
GGAAUCCCUACAUCAACAUUACCUGUUCUGUGUCAAAAAAGACAAUUUUUUUGAAACUCUAUUCAAUAGGCUUUUUUUCUACCACAAAAGAAAUGGUUGCAAGAACUUGUGAGAAUGACCUGGAACUGAUCUCACUACUGAAAUAUUACAGUAAUUAGAAAGGAUAAAAUUGACCAAGUAUCUUAGUCUCUGUCUGGAGACACUGUCUGGAAUGAAAAAGUUGAGUAAGUAUAAUUCAAUGGGGGAAAAAAAAUCUCACAACCCAACAGCUGAUAGUAUCCAGUCAUGCCUUGUCUAAGGCAGAGAUGACCAGGCUCAGUGACUGAAACACCCUAUCCACUGAGACAGGGGCACUCUGUAAUAGAGAUAAGUUGCAUCAGAUUAUCACAGCCUGAGGCCAAUAAAUGUUUCUGCAUUCUUUAAGUUUUGUAUUUAAGUAUUAUAUAUAGACAGAAAAGUACAUACAUCAAAAGUACAAAAGUACAACUCAAUGAAUUUUACAGUUGAACAAAUCCAUGUAAGUAGUACCUAGAUCAAGAAGCAGAACAUUGCUACCCAAAAUUCAUUCUCACACUCCCUCCAAUCUAGCCACUGGCCUCUCCAAAUAACCACUAUCUUAUCUUCUAACAGAGAUGAGGGCUUUGAAUAUUUCUCUACUUUAUGUAAAUAUAAUCAUACAGCAUGUUCUAUUUUGUGUCUGG